Gopherus evgoodei (Goodes thornscrub tortoise) is the source of this 143-nucleotide long non-coding RNA. RefSeq lists it as uncharacterized. The record is from RefSeq and is a predicted model, not a curated record. Lineage: Eukaryota; Metazoa; Chordata; Testudines; Testudinidae. The transcript is spliced from 3 exons.
UGGGACAGCAAUGGCUAUUAGCCAAGAUGGUCAUGGACACAAUCCCAUGAUCUGGGUGUCCCUUAAAUUCUGACUGCCAGAAGCUGGGACUGGACGACAGGGGUGGAUCGCUCAGUGACUGAACUGCUCUGUUCUUUCACUCU